GGGAGGGGGGGCUAUACAUGCAAGUCGAGCGACAGACAAGGAGCUUGCUCCUUUGACGUUAGCGGCGGACGGGUGAGUAACACGUGGGUAACCUACCUAUAAGACUGGGAUAACUUCGGGAAACCGGAGCUAAUACCGGAUAAUAUUUCGAACCGCAUGGUUCGAUAGUGAAAGAUGGUUUUGCUAUCACUUAUAGAUGGACCCGCGCCGUAUUAGCUAGUUGGUAAGGUAACGGCUUACCAAGGCGACGAUACGUAGCCGACCUGAGAGGGUGAUCGGCCACACUGGAACUGAGACACGGUCCAGACUCCUACGGGAGGCAGCAGAAGGGAAUCUUCCGCAAUGGGCGAAAGCCUGACGGAGCAACGCCGCGUGAGUGAUGAAGGUCUUCGGAUCGUAAAACUCUGUUAUUAGGGAAGAACAUACGUGUAAGUAACUAUGCACGUCUUGACGGUACCUAAUCAGAAAGCCACGGCUAACUACGUGCCAGCAGCCGCGGUAAUACGUAGGUGGCAAGCGUUAUCCGGAAUUAUUGGGCGUAAAGCGCGCGUAGGCGGUUUUUUAAGUCUGAUGUGAAAGCCCACGGCUCAACCGUGGAGGGUCAUUGGAAACUGGAAAACUUGAGUGCAGAAGAGGAAAGUGGAAUUCCAUGUGUAGCGGUGAAAUGCGCAGAGAUAUGGAGGAACACCAGUGGCGAAGGCGACUUUCUGGUCUGUAACUGACGCUGAUGUGCGAAAGCGUGGGGAUCAAACAGGAUUAGAUACCCUGGUAGUCCACGCCGUAAACGAUGAGUGCUAAGUGUUAGGGGGUUUCCGCCCCUUAGUGCUGCAGCUAACGCAUUAAGCACUCCGCCUGGGGAGUACGACCGCAAGGUUGAAACUCAAAGGAAUUGACGGGGACCCGCACAAGCGGUGGAGCAUGGGGGUUUUAUUUCGAACCACGCGG
Molecule: ribosomal RNA, 945 nt
Filed under: Staphylococcus haemolyticus
Lineage: Bacteria; Bacillati; Bacillota; Bacilli; Caryophanales; Staphylococcaceae
Description: bacterial SSU rRNA
Rfam family: Bacterial small subunit ribosomal RNA
Source: RNAcentral